This 643-nucleotide unclassified non-coding RNA is filed under the name Hevea brasiliensis (rubber tree). Lineage: Eukaryota; Viridiplantae; Streptophyta; Magnoliopsida; Malpighiales; Euphorbiaceae. The record is from RNAcentral.
AGUUGAGUUGAGUUGAGUUGCACUUAUUAAGGUACUAUGGAAACAAUACAGAGUUUAGAAUGUUUUACUGGUCGUUAAUAUUCUGGGAUCUUACUCUAUUUAGUUUGUUGAAGUUGGUUCCAAUCAAAAUUCUUAGCGUAUUCUGUAGUGGGAUUUAUUCUCGAAAUGAUUCAGAUAGAAGUAGGGAGAUGCUUAUGGGUUUACCAUGGGAUACUGAUAUCCAGCAGCAGGCUUCUAUAAUUCAUCAAUUCCAGUUAGAAGCAAGUAUGAAAUAAAAUUUAAGCAAGUAGCAAAUGUUGAGUCUUAUCAACACAUUUUAGUUUCGCACUCAAAUGUGCUUUUGAUAUUUUCUAUUCGUAAGUUGUGAAAGAUGAACUUCUGUUUCACAUGUAAACAUUCUCAUCCAGCAUGCAUCAUGCAAUCAUGCUAUAGCUUGUGUUUCUUUAGGCAGAAGUCUAGCUUUCUGUUAUUCAAAAUCCUCUUGUAUUCAUUUUCUUUUCAAAGUCUUGUUAGAUGAAGGCUUUGGAAAUUAGAACUCCACGUCAUAUUCAUUUCUAUGUUCUUAAUAAUAAGCCUUCCUAAUUCCUAUUAUGGUGCUGAAAUGGGUAUUUUGUCCAUGCAGUGAAACAGCUUAUUCAGAUGA